This 176-nucleotide unclassified non-coding RNA is filed under the name uncultured Elaphomyces. Its description in RNAcentral is "sequence contains ITS2". The record is from RNAcentral. Lineage: Eukaryota; Fungi; Ascomycota; Eurotiomycetes; Eurotiales; Elaphomycetaceae.
CCUCUCUCCAAGCCCUCCAGCUUGGGUGUUGGGCUGCCGUCCCCCUCCCGUGGCGGGGUUGGGACGGGCCUGAAAGACAACGGCGAUGCGAUGGUCAGCUCCCGAGCGUAUGGGUUUAUUUUCCCGCUCUACGGGUGUGAUCGGCAUCUGCCUCUGCCCUGCAGUGCUGACUCCAG